RNAcentral lists this ribosomal RNA (467 nucleotides) under uncultured bacterium. RNAcentral's name for it is "bacterial SSU rRNA". It matches the Rfam family "Bacterial small subunit ribosomal RNA", at positions 328 to 792 of the family's 1533-position model. The record is from RNAcentral.
UGGCCAGACUCCUACGGGAGGCAGCAGUGAGGAAUAUUGGUCAAUGGGCGGAAGCCUGAACCAGCCAAGUCGCGUGAGGGAUUAAGGCCCUAUGGGUCGUAAACCUCUUUUGUCAGGGAGCAAUGGCGUCCACGUGUGGGCGUAUGGAGAGUACCUGAAGAAAAAGCAUCGGCUAACUCCGUGCCAGCAGCCGCGGUAAUACGGAGGAUGCGAGCGUUAUCCGGAUUUAUUGGGUUUAAAGGGUGCGUAGGCGGACGCUUAAGUCAGCGGUAAAAUUGCGGGGCUCAACCUCGUCGAGCCGUUGAAACUGGGUGCCUUGAGUGGGCGAGAAGUACGCGGAAUGCGUGGUGUAGCGGUGAAAUGCAUAGAUAUCACGCAGAACUCCGAUUGCGAAGGCAGCAUACCGGCGCCCGACUGACGCUGAGGCACGAAAGCGUGGGUAUCGAACAGGAUUAGAUACCCUUGUA